AGUGAACGCUGGCGGUAGGCCUAACACAUGCCAGUCGAACGGCAGCACAGUAAGAGCUUGCUCUUACGGGUGGCGAGUGGCGGACGGGUGAGGAAUACAUCGGAAUCUACUUUUUCGUGGGGGAUAACGUAGGGAAACUUACGCUAAUACCGCAUACGACCUGCGGGUGAAAGCAGGGGAUCUUCGGACCUUGCGCGAUUGAAUGAGCCGAUGUCGGAUUAGCUAGUUGGCGGGGUAAAGGCCCACCAAGGCCACGAUCCGUAGCUGGUCCGAGAGGAUGAUCAGCCACACUGGAACUGAGACACGGUACAGACUCCUACGGGAGGCAGCAGUGGAGAAUAUUGGACAAUGGGCGCAAGCCUGAUCCAGCCAUACCGCGUGGGUGAAGAAGGCCUUCGGGUUGUAAAGCCCUUUUGUUGGGAAAGAAAAGCAGCAGGUUAAUACCCCGCUGUUCUGACGGUACCCAAAGAAUAAGCACCGGCUAACUUCGUG
RNAcentral lists this ribosomal RNA (492 nucleotides) under uncultured bacterium. RNAcentral's name for it is "partial 16S ribosomal RNA". It matches the Rfam family "Bacterial small subunit ribosomal RNA", at positions 29 to 507 of the family's 1533-position model. The record is from RNAcentral.